Molecule: ribosomal RNA, 128 nt
Filed under: uncultured eukaryote
Lineage: Eukaryota
Description: partial small subunit ribosomal RNA
Rfam family: Eukaryotic small subunit ribosomal RNA
Source: RNAcentral
CCCUGCCUUUUGUACACACCGCCCGUCGCAUCAAUCGAUUGGAUGAUUCGGUGAAUGGUUCAGAUUGGGGUUUUUCUAGUAAUAGUUUUAUCUUGAAAAGUUUUGUAAACCCAAUUAUCUAGAGAAUG